CGCGGAGUAGAGCAGUGGUAGCUCAUCAGGCCCAUAACCUGGAGGUCGCAGCGUUCAAAUCCUGCCUCCGCAACCA
This 76-nucleotide transfer RNA is filed under the name Bacilli bacterium. Its description in RNAcentral is "tRNA-Met". It matches the Rfam family "tRNA". From Rfam's summary of the family: Transfer RNA (tRNA) molecules are approximately 80 nucleotides in length. Their secondary structure includes four short double-helical elements and three loops (D, anti-codon, and T loops). The record is from RNAcentral. Lineage: Bacteria; Bacillati; Bacillota; Bacilli. RNAcentral also lists the same sequence under 1 other name.